Molecule: ribosomal RNA, 497 nt
Filed under: uncultured bacterium
Lineage: Bacteria
Description: partial 16S ribosomal RNA
Rfam family: Bacterial small subunit ribosomal RNA
Source: RNAcentral
AAUGAACGCUGGCGGCGUGCCUAAUACAUGCAAGUCGAGCGAACAGACGAGGAGCUUUCUCCUCUUACGUUCGCGUCGGACGGGUGAGUAACACGUGUAUAACCUACCUUUAAGACUGGGAUAACUUCCUGAAACCGGAGCUAAUACCGGAUAAUAUAUUGAACCGCAUGGUUCAGUAGUUAAAGACGGUUUUGCUGUCACUUAUCGCUGGAUCCGCUCGGCAUUAGCUAGUUGGUAAGGUAACGGCUUACCAAGGCAACGAUGCGUAGCCGACCUGAGAGGGUGAUCGGCCACACUGGAACUGAGACACGGUCCAGACUCCUACGGGAGGCAGCAGUAGGGAAUAUUGCGCAAUGGGCGAAAGCCUGACGGAGCAACGCCGCGUGAAUGAUGAAGGUCUUCGGAUCGUAAAAUACUGUCAGCAGGGAAGAAGAAAUGUGUAAGUAACUAUGCACGUCUUGACGGUACCUAAUCAGAAAGCAACGGCUAACUACGUG